CAGAGGUGGCAAGCGUUGUUCGGAAUUACUGGGCGUAAAGGGCGCGUAGGCGGCCUUCUAAGUCAGACGUGAAAUCCCCAGGCUUAACUUGGGGACUGCGUCUGAUACUGGAGGGCUCGAGUGCGGGAGAGGGAUGUGGAAUUCCAGGUGUAGCGGUGAAAUGCGUAGAUAUCUGGAGGAACACCGGUGGCGAAGGCGGCAUCCUGGACCGACACUGACGCUGAGGCGCGAAAGCUAGGGGAGCAAACGGGAUUAGAUACCCCGGUAGUCCUAGCCCUAAACGAUGAGUGCUUGGUGUGGCGGGUAUCGAUCCCUGCCGUGCCGAAGCUAACGCAUCAAGCACUCCGCCUGGGGAGUACGGUCGCAAGGCUG
RNAcentral lists this ribosomal RNA (372 nucleotides) under uncultured organism. Its description in RNAcentral is "bacterial SSU rRNA". It matches the Rfam family "Bacterial small subunit ribosomal RNA", at positions 526 to 896 of the family's 1533-position model. The record is from RNAcentral.